Molecule: microRNA precursor, 119 nt
Filed under: Ovis aries (sheep)
Lineage: Eukaryota; Metazoa; Chordata; Mammalia; Artiodactyla; Bovidae
Description: miRNA (ENSOARG00000021757.1)
Source: RNAcentral
AGAUAAAUUUGAAUUUCAGAAAAACCACUAAUCAUCUUUUAGAAUUUAAGUAUAUCCCAUGCUAUAUUUGGGACAAACUUAUACUAAAAACUGGUUUGUAUCUGAAAUUCAAGGUACCU